AAAUGAACAAACUAUUUGAGGAAGUUGUGGAACAGUUCAAAUAAUUCUAAUUUCGUGUCCUCAUUGCCUGAUUUUUCGCUGUCUUCAGAAAUGCUCUUAGAGUUGGACAUGAACAUCCAACAAGGGUUGUUUACUGUUCCCUAGGAAAUCAUUUACCAGAAUUCAAUCCCAGAUAUAAUAUUGUCCAGAACAGAUCUCCUACCAAAAAAUCAUCUAUCCGAAUAAACUAACCCUCAGGAAAUCAUAUCCCAAAAUGAAGUAACUUCCAGAAAAAUGAUUUCCUAGAAAAUUUUUCACCAGAACAAAUGUACUUCUACGUAAGCUGGACACAAGAAUAACUAUGCCCAAUGCGGCUUUCCCGCGUCGUUACGAAGCGUGUGCUGUCCAAAUGUCGCUACUGCUCGUUCCAUACUACAACAGCAGCAAAUCUAACUACAGCCACACCCCAACCCAGCUUUCCGGUCUCGGUUCGACGAUGAUUCCAUAAAUUCUAGACCGACUGGAAUACUUCGUAAUAGUAGGUUGUUCCGUUUUGCGUGGAAUUACCCACCUGGGCUUAACAUGUUUCGAUCAAGUUCCUCCCAUAAAAGUUCGAAGGGGCUUAUAUCUGGUGUUGAAAGUUUGAAAGUGUUAGCUUGUAACAUUAUACAGUGUAUUUCGAAACAAUGA
Molecule: long non-coding RNA, 669 nt
Organism: Malaya genurostris
Lineage: Eukaryota; Metazoa; Arthropoda; Insecta; Diptera; Culicidae
Exons: 3
Source: RefSeq, a predicted model, not a curated record